AAUAUUGGACAAUGGGCGAAAGCCUGAUCCAGCCAUGCCGCGUGUGUGAAGAAGGUCUGCGGAGUGUAAUGCCCUUUAAGUUGGGAGGAAGUGCAGUAAGUUAAUACCUUGCUGUUUUGACGUUACCGACAGAAUAAGCACCGGCUAACUUCGUGCCAGCAGCCGCGGUAAUACGAAGGGUUCAAGCGUUAUUCGGAAUUACUGGGCGUAAAGCACGCCUAGGUGGGUCGUUAAGUUGGAAGUGAAAGCCCCGGGCUUAACCUGGGAAUUGAUUUCAAAACUGACGAGCUAGAGUACGGUAGAGGGUAGUGGAAUUUCCUGUGUAGCGGUGAAAUGCGUAGAUAUAGGAAGGAACAUCAGUGGCGAAGGCGACUACCUGGACUGAUACUGACACUGAGGUGCGAAAGCGUGGGGAGCAAACAGG
Molecule: ribosomal RNA, 424 nt
Filed under: uncultured bacterium
Lineage: Bacteria
Description: partial 16S ribosomal RNA
Rfam family: Bacterial small subunit ribosomal RNA
Source: RNAcentral